GCUGGCGAAAGGAAUUAGGGUUCAUAGGUUUUGGAGAAAAUUAACAAGAACCGUAAAAAUGAAAAGAGAUAAGGUAAGAUAUGGUUUUGUAAAAAGUUAAAAAUAAGGAAUCGGUUUUCUAGUUUUGAAUUGGUUAACAAGAUUGGUUAGUUGGGUGAGUUUCUAGUUAACUAAAGAUGUGUCUUAGUUGAGGGUUAUAUUAGUAAACUUAGCAUAAGAAAGUGUGUUGUAGUAUAAUGUGUUUUUAAAAUAUCAUCCACAUUGAGGUUGGGUUGUGGUUAGAGAGGCUGUGGCUACGGGGGUGUUGUUUUUGUUACCACGUAGAUGGGUUGUGGUUAAACAGGUUGUGGUCAGAGAGGUUGUGGCUAAAGUUAUGUUGGUAGGCGAUGACGAAAUUUUUUUUAUACAUGUCGAUAUGAUCAUGGACGCUUAGCAGUGGUUACAAUAUAGAUGUGGUCAUGGACACGUAGUAGUGGUUGGUGAGUGGUGUUUUGUUGCGGGAAUCUAUCAGUUGCAAAAAACCUUUCGGAGGAGGCGGAUAUCAACUGCGUUAUCUGCAAAGUAUUAAACAAAAAGCGAAAUUUUAGGGUUUGUUGCGAGCAGACGGAAUCAAUUAGUUUAUAUGUGGGAAGAGUGAAUCAAGAAGUUUAAGAAGAGGGAUCUAACCUUCCAUUUGGAGUUUAUCUGAGAAACGAUAGAACCGCAAAAACCCAGAACUUCGAGGUCGAGACACUGAGUGCGAGAUGAUGAUAACGCGAAACACAGACCCUAAUUUGGUGAGGAGAAAAAGCAAAUCAAAGAGAUGAGGGUUGGGAAGGUGAGAUUUGGGUCGAAUUUCAGAUUGUGAUUUUUGGAUCUAGAAGAUGUCGCUGGCGAAAGGAAUUAGGGUUCAUAGGUUUUGGAGAAGAUUAACAAGAACCGUAAAAAUGGAAAGAGAUAAGGUAAGAUAUGGUUUUGUAAAAAGUUAAAAAUAAGGAAUCGGUUUUGUAGUUUUAAAUUGGUUAACAAGAUUGGUUAGUUGGGUGAGUUUUCUAGUUAACUAAAGAUGUCUCUUAGUUGAGGGUUAUAUUAGUAAACUUAGCAUAAGAAAGUGUGUUGUAGCAUAAUGUGUCCCUGAGUGAAAUUGUAAACACAAAAUGUGUCUCUGAGCGUAAAAAUUUCUUAUAUCAAUGGACGUGCAAAAAUAUCUGAAGGAAAAUAAUACAAAUUUUUUAAUUAAAUUGAUUAGUGGAACUUUGUUGGGAUGGUCUCUUUUAUUUUCUCUUCCCACCGCUAAUCGCCUCUCCUCCACAACUUUCUUCUUAAGCCUAAUUAUUUAUAAUGAUGAGUGAUGAUAUUUUAUGGUGGUCCUCCUUCCAUCAUAUCAUAAUACGACCAAGUAUUGGUCCAAAACUCGAUUUCUUUAUUUCAUGUCCAUGUUUGAACUUGUCUUUCCACUCGUCUUUAUCUUCCACUAGAUUAUGUUUUUCCCUUGGCUCAAAAUGUCCAUGGUAGCAGUUCAAAGCUUUGUUGGUUACAAAUAUAUAUUAUCUGAUAUUGUAAAUGUAACUGGUCUAGCCAAUGUUUGGGACAAGAAGUUUGAUCCACCAAGUUUUCUUUAAAAUAAGACAUGGAUAUAUACAGGAAUAACACAUUUACAUAUUGAUUACCAAAGAGAGCAGAUAUAUUAUAUAGUAUUACUUUGGCCUUUGGGUUCAAUAUUAGAGCAUCUGGCAUAAUACUGCAGAAAUAGUUAUAAAUAUAAAAAGAUGAAGAAUAUUUCAUAGAUAAACUCCUGUUUUACAUUUUAAAAAGAUGCACUGGAAGUGACAAUGGAUUAUGACCCCUUGGUUUUGGUUGGCAUAGAUUCUUUUCUUUCCUUCUUUUUUUGGAGACAAUAAUUUUUCUACUAAUAAUUUUUUUUUUUAAAGAAACUUUUCAUGAACAAGUGAAGAGAGAACAAUUGAACGCCAAAAAUGACUAGAAAAUAGAGAUACACAAAACAGAGUGUUAAUUAAUUAUAAUAUUAGACGGUAAGUCUUAGUUUAAACGUAUUUCUAUAAUUUUCCUUAAAUAAAAUACUUGGUUUAUCAAUCUUUAAAAUGGUAAAUUUGCUAGAAAAUAUAUAAGAAUCGUGUUAUAUUUUAGAAAUUUCUCUAACCCAUCGACCAUAUAUAUCAACUAGAGACUAGAGUUCUCAAUUGGAUUAUUUUUUAUAACAUAGCUAGAUUUAGCAUUAGAUUAAUAUUAAACACAAGACCAUAAGCUAUUUUGUAGGGCCAAUAUUGGUCGAAUCAGUAAUUAAAAUACGAGGCUCCUGUAUAAUAUUUGUUGAAGUUUAGGUGAACUUAAAAACAGUACUAUAAGAUUUAUUAUAGAAAUGAUUCAAAGGAAUUCAUUAGUUUACACUAAUUAAUAAAAUAAUGACAUAAAUUAAAAAGACUAGAUAUCUUAUAGUAAUAGACUGAAAAGGAUAUCUCUCUCUAGUGGAAAACAAGAAGAUGAGACCAUUCUUUUCAUAUGAGCACCACAUUCUCUCUCUCUCUUUAUACACUUGUAUAUAUAAACACGCAAACGACCUCUUCUCAUUAUCAAAUAUCAACUCAUCUUCUCCAACAAAAAUCAUAAAUACCCACAAAGAAAAGAUAAUGACAAAAGUUCAUCCAAAAUUCCAAAACACUUGCGAGGAGAGCUUGUGCGAUAGUAAAGAAGCUGUCGUUUUAACGGUGUGGAAGAAGUCCCUUCUCUUCAACUGUGAUGGCUUCACAGUUUACAACUCCAAUGGAGAACUUGUCUUUAGGGUCGACAACUACAUGAACUGUCCUAAAGAUAACAUCGUCCUUAUGGACGCUUCCGGUCUACCCCUCCUCUCCAUCCGCCGCAAGGUACUCCUCCUUUCUAUCUCUAUUUGGCUUUAUAUAUAUAUAUAUCUAAGAUCCAAAGUCCUGAACCAAAUUGGUCUUUUAUGUUUGUUAUUCAAAAGAUAACCAAAUUCUUAUGAAACAAUCUUGAUAUUCAUUUCUUGUUAAUUUAUUUGAUCAGAAGUUGAGCCUUGGAGAUUGCUGGAUGGUAUACGAUGGAGAAACACAAAGAGAUCCAAUGUUUACGGCAAAGAAAAACGUUAGUAUAAUGACAAACAAGAGGAGCUUGGUGUCAGUUAGCUCGAAGAAGACAGUACUAUACGAGAUAGAAGGAUCAUACAGCCAAAGAAGCUGCAAAAUAUUGGACGAGAGGAGGAACAAGAAGAAAACGGCGGAAAUCAAGAGGAAAGAGGCAAUGGUUGGAGGAGUUUCAUUUGGCAAAGAUGUGUUCAAACUUAUAGUUGAACCGGAGAUGGAGCCUCGUGUGGCCAUGGCAUUGACCAUCAUCCUCGACCAAAUGUAUAGAUAUUGAUUUUCUACAUUUUCAUGCUUUGUACGUGUAUACUAGUUCUCUUUUUGUCAUGUAAUUUAUGUGUGUUUUGUUACUGGUGGAGGCAGACUGGAUAUCGAAAUUUUUGAAGAUAUUCAUAGUCCACUUCACUUCAUCCGAAUCAUAAUCUUUAUGAUUUGUAUUUGUCCUGUUAUCAUUUAAAUACUUGGUGUCUGGAUAUCUGAUAAAAUAUAUAGUAUUUCCUCUGUUAAAAUAAAAAAUAAAUAAGAUAUUAAGAAAUUAAAAUGUAAUGAAAAAAAUAAAAAAAAUUAUUUUUAUUUUAAUAAUUAAAUAAUAAAUCUAGUAAUAAAAAGACUAUGAAAUAUUUUAUAGAUAAAAAUAAUUAUAUAAUUUGUAUACAUAAAUAUUAUAUAUAUAUAUAUAUAUUUACAUGUCAGACAGAUAAAAUCAAUCGUCUAAUUUUUUCAAUUAUUAUGAUAUAAUCUCAUAUAUUAAUUUAGAGUCUUAUUUUUUAUCUACUAUUAAGUAUUAACAAGUCAUAGUAGGACCACUUAAAAAAAUUAGUUAAUAUGACAUAUUUGAUUAUUUACAUUAAUAAUAAACCAAUUAUAAUUUUUUUUUUAAUUAUAACAAAUAUGUUGAGAAAGAAUCUAAGAAAAUAUUACUAAUUUUUUUUUAAUAAAAUAGCACAUUAAUUAAUUUCGUAAUUACUAAUGCAAUAUUAUUAUAAAUCAAUUUUAAUUACAAUUUUAUCCUAAAACAAUAAAAUAAAAAUAAUACAAUAUUUUUAUAAAUUUUAUAAUUAUAUUCUGUAUUAUAUAAAAUAGAAGAGAUUUAUGAAUUAAAUAUGACAAAAUUAUAUUAAAUAGGUAAAUUAACAAAAAAAAAUAUUUUUUUCAUUUAAAUAAGUUAUCACUCAUCAUUAAAAUGGGUUAAUAUUCGUAAACUAUAUAAUAUUUUUAUACAAAAAUAUAUUUAUUAACAUAAGUUAAAUUUUUAUAUCUACAACUAUAUGUUCUUUUUUUAUUUAUUUUGAAACUCUCAAUAAUAUAUUGUUUAAAAAUGUUUAUAUACAAAAAUAUAAUAGUAUAUCGUAAUCUUUAGUUCAUAUACUAUUUAAAAAGUAUGUUAUUAGAAAACUAUGAAAUUUUAAUUAUUUAUUUAAACGAUUAAUAACAAAUAAAGUUUUAAUUAUAAAUUUAUUUUUAUCUUAAUUAUAACAAAAUCUGUUGAAAAUAAUUUAUAAAAUAUUACCAAAAUUAUGAUAUUUUUAGAGAAUGAUGUACUAAUGUAGUAACAAUUUUUUUUCAAAAUUCAUGUAAUUUUUCAAACUCAAAAAUAGUUGUGUAAUUUUCUAAAGUUUUCUUGACAAAAUAUACAAUUUUUACAACCAAUAUUCAAACUGAAAAUGAUAAUAUUUCAAAUUUUACAAAAGAUAAAAUUAUAGAUAAUAAAGAAUAACUUUUUAUAAUGCACCACAAAAAAGUAAAUUAUAUAUGUUGAAAAACUAAAGUAAUCUAAUAUUUUGAAAUCUUAAUUAAAAAAUAUCUGUAUGUCCCGUGCUGGUCAAAAUCUAGUUUAUUUUUAAAAAAUGUUGCAUAUUAUAUUUGAUUUAAUACGUAAAUUAUGGACCCUUAGAUUUUUUAGAUUUAAUCAAAAUGAAACAUAUCGGAUCAAAUUUUAUAUAUUUAUCCCUCCCUAAUUCUUGUAUGUUACACAUGAACGACGGAGACAACUCUAAUUUUUCAGUUUUUUUAAUUUCUGCGUAGAUACUACAUAAAAUGCCGACACUCAAUUAUUAAUUUAAUCUUUAAGGACGGUUAACAGAAGGAGGCGGCUGAUCAGCCGGAUAUGUUAAUAAUUGUCGGUUAUGACUUAUGAGAAAAAGAUGGGUGGGGGAAUAACCAAAUUAUUACGAAACUAAUCUUGAAUUUCAAUGCUGUAUUCGAUAUCAGACAAAAAUGUCCAGGAAAUUAAGAUCAGGUGACUUUUCUACAUGUUUUCUGUUUGCAGAUGUUGAAGUGAGUUGCCUUGAAGUGUUUUGUGUGCGUUGACUAGAUAGGAAGACUUGUUAAAUGUCGAGUGAGCUAUGUGUUACCUCUACGGCUCUACCUCGUGGCUCGUGCAUGUGUUUGUUUACCUGCAUCAGUCCAGUCCAUCUAGGGGAUAAUUUUAUUGAUUUUCAAGAGAUUAGAAAGUUAUUUUCGUGGAACAAUUCAGUGAGAAGCUUUUUUCAAAAAAAAAAAAAAAACAAUUCAGUGAGAAGCUUCUAGUUAAUCAAGAGAACGAGAAUCUCUAAAUACUUGACGUGAGUAGUACAUUCUUAUUAAACCGCAUUAUAUAUUUGUGUGUUUAUGAUGUUAGCGUGGCAGUUACUGGGCUGUGCAUGUGCUGUCAGUGAAUUUGAACAGAAUCCGACAUAUUUAAGGCCCAAAUUUGGAAUUAUAUAUGAACUUUUAACUAUUAAUUUAGGGGGCUUUCUUUCUCUCAUCUGAAAUAUUAAUUCAAGUUCAUGGCUAAAACCAGAACCGAUAGUAACUUUUAGGGCCCGUUUCUGUAUUUCUUCCUUUCCAAGAAUAAAAUUUUAAGUUUAUAUUUUGGUUAGGGUCUUUUCUAUAGACCUGCACCGGGUCUGGCCAAUGGAUGAACUCGGCCUAGACUUCAAACCAGAUUCUAUCACAUACUCGAGGUUUUCUUCUUUUCACUUAUAAUUUAGGUUCGUAUUUCCACAUCGUUUAGCUUUGAUUUCUCAAUUCUCACUCUCACUGGAUGCAUGGAGAGAGACUAACUUUUAAUUUGGACGUCCCAGUACGCAGUAGGCAUCAUAACUUUUCUAUAACUUGUUGAUCUAUGUUCUUGUAUAUUAUUUAAGUUUCAUCUACAUUUUUUUGAGAAUUUAGUUAUAUCAUUUUUAGUUCCAGUAGGCAUCAUAGCACAUGCAAACUCAUUGUGGUCUUUAUUUAAAAAAUUAGUUAUGGGAGAACUACGUUGCAAUUUCCAUGGCAUCAAUGCUCACCAGAAGCCAAUGGAUACGCAGCCACCAGAUUCGACAACCUGGCUACUAACACAGUUCAUAUAACUCGAUAAAGCGAUGUAUUCAAAUGAUUAUCAAGAUCUCUAUACGAUAUACCUUCUCUCUUUAUAUAAACGAUAUACCUUCUAUCUUAAAGGUUAUAUGAAACUUUUUACACUUUUUUUUUCUUAUACUAAAGCAUAUUCUUUUAGCAGUACUGCAAGCUUAAUAAAACCUUAGAAGAGCUUCCAUAUACCUCUUGAUGUUUAGUAAACUUUCUUAUAAGACUCAGACAUAACGUCAUACUCACUCUUCAACACUAGUCCAAGAGUUUAGGUGGCUAAUUUAAAAGAUAUGGUCGGAAAUGAUUCUUAGAUUUCAUAUUUCUUUGACUUAGUCUCUGUUGGGGGAUUUUUUGCCAACUUAACUUUAUAAAGUUCUCUAAGAACAUCACAUCAAUGUCCAUGGAAUUCAAUGUUCGUUUGGUUUUUUCUUUGCCAUUUUCAUGAUUAAAAAAUUCUUUAUAUCCAACUUGGAAAUCCAAAACUAAUUUUACGUUCUGUAACUCUAAUUUUACAUUAUUUCAUAUAAAUAUUACGUUGGCUUAAUUAUUAAUAAAGUAAUAAUGCACAUAUAAUAUAUUCACAAAUAUAAAUAAAUCUAUUAAAAUUUAUAUAAAAAUAUAUGUUCAACUUAAUAUUAGUGGUCUACUGGUAACAUAAAUGGGUUGAUUUCUUUGGACCACAGAUUUAAAUCUCUUUUAAUAUAAAAUACCAUUAAAAAAUAAAUCUAAUUUUGAAUAUUGAAUCAAUUAUAAACCGAAAACAUGGAACUCCUAUAAUCCCUAUAAAGGAAAUGUAUUACAUAAAAUGUAAUUUUAUUAGUAUGAGAUCAAACUAGUAAUUAGAAUUCAUCACCCUCAUAUUGUUUAACACAUUUUCUUAGCUAAAAUUACAAUAUACUUUCUGCUGAAACUGUUCAAUUUAAUACUCCAUUUGUCACAUGCAUUGUUGAAUUUACUUAAGUAGCUAGCAAACAAAGAUGCCAGUAACAACAACUAUUUAUAUUUUUCCAAAGUUAUGACAAUUAACUCGACCGUUACAGUUCGCAAAUGCCAUUCACUUGGUUUACAAACGUGUUGAUGUCGUAUAUCUACUAUUUAUUAAUACAAACAUGUCUAUAAAAUCUUCCUUUUUAACAAUGUCCAAAUAAAAUUCAGCUUGUUAGAAUAAGUUACAUUUUCUAUGAAUCACAUAUGCACAUACAAAUAUGCAGCAUAAAUAUUAUUUCUAUAAUUUGGGCAGGGCUUGUAGCUUUACAAAAUAUUACAGUAAUGGAAUUUGAGAGAAAGUAGAAGAAAUCGACUAAAAAUAUAUACAAAUUUCGUAAAAAAAACAAAUUAUAUAAAUUUCAAUAAUAACUAUGAAUUUUGUGACAUUUUAAUUAUCAACUUUAACAUGAAACGUUUUUGACCAUGAAAUCCACAGCAGUCAAAAGAAAGGAUAAUUUAGCAUGAUUGACUACAUUAUAUAACUUAAAAAAUUUGCCAUAAAAAUAUGUAAGAUGGAAGACUCUUUCAACAUAUAUAGAGACUAGGACCAACCAAUCUCAAUGAUUUAUAUCAGCAGUUAUUGUUAAUCUAAUCAUAAAAGCAAAAGUAUAAUAAUAAUACGUAUAAGAGACAGCUCUUGUGAGCGAUAGCAUGAUCGACACGUGUCAACUUUUAGCGGCGCUAAAAAAAAUAUACGAUCUACGUAGUCACGCAUACAGACCAGAGUUCCACCGUUGUCUUUUUAAUCAUUUACUUUUUUUUUUUUUUUUAUUUUUUAACGUCUGAACAUAUUUUAUUAAUAUAUCAAAGUACAAGUAGAGUUAUAAAAUCGUUUACAAAGCAACGAAAUACAAUUUAUUACAUAAGCAGAAAUAUGCGACAUAUGCUGAAGACAAAUCAUUUGUAGAAGUGAAGAUUGACGUUGCUUUUUUGUCCAAUAAGCCUUACACGCUAACAGAACAUGUGAUCUGUUAUUUUCCUUCUCCAUAACUUGUCUCGCUCUGAUAUGAUAGGUAUGCCUUAUUGGCAUUUUAUUUGUUUUCCAUAUCAUACAGUAAAACCUCAUUGUAUUCGGGGCGUCGACACGGUACCAAUUAGUCCGUAUCCGUGUUCUUUGAAUCAAAGUAGACUCUAUAAUACUCUUCUUGCAACUCCGGUAAAUUAACCAUUUACACCAUCCACUCAUAUGCAUUGAUACUCUCCGGUGCCAUGAUGGCUUCCAAUACCCAAACAAUCGUACUAAUAUUUCAAGUGAGAAAUUAACAUCAAUACCUUCAUAUAUUUGAGACACCAUCUCUGAAAGAUUGUAAGCGCCAAACAAAUCUUGAUAGAUGUCAAACAAGCCCGUUGACAAGGACACUUGUAAUACACAUAGGUUUCUCUCUCCAAACAUAGUUUCCUCAUGCACACAAGUUCUUCUAUGUACUCUGGAGGCCGUGCCAGAUUUUGACGGUAAUAGAUGCACGAUGAAAUCAAUAUCAUAGUCUCCAGGCCAAGGUGGCCUGAGGAAUGAUUGCGUCUCUCCAUGAAUGACCAGAAGAGGAAGAAAAGCAUCGUGCAACAAGUGCUCGGGUAAGGCGCCAACGAAAUCAGUGAGAUUUCCCGGAAAUACACCAACAAAUUCAACAUGAUUUGUUGGAAGAACACGCUCCAAAAUGGAGAAAAUCAAAACUUCGAGACGUGAUUGCUCCGAAACUCUAUCCCAUAAUUUCAGAAUUGAACGAAGGGAAACCAGGCCUAUGGAAAUAACAGUCACAAGAGGCGGUGCUUGGAGUGAAGGAAGAGAAUCACGUCGUCGGAUAGAUAAAUAAAAGCGUUGAUUGGAUAUGAAUCCAAACGUGAGUAGUAUGAUACAAAUCAUUAAAUUAUUGUGGAAACAAAAGAAAAAAGAAAGAAAACCGGCGGCCGGAACCGCCGGUGGUGCUCGUAAAAGUGAAAAGGUGUGUUUUAUAUAAUCGCUCUGUAAAUCGCCUCUAGAGAGAGAGUUUUUGACACUCUUUGACUAUUAAUCAUUUACUUUUAUUGUUGAAAAAAUCACUUUAAUCUUUUUCAACCUUUGUAACAGAGAGAUCCACGCUGUCACCUAAACCUUUUUUUGUCUAAUUUUAUUUUUCCCAAAAAUAAUAAAGAGAAAUUUCAGAGAGAGAAAAAAAGGAAAAAUAAAAAUAAAUAAAAAAAGUCAGGCGUCUUUCUGCAGAAUUCACAUUUGGUCUCUCUCUCUCUCUCUCUCUCUCUCUCUCUCUCUCUCUCUGUAUUGUAUACGCUUCUAGAGGGAAGAGGAAGAAGAAGAAGAAGAAAGACUCAUGUCUGGUCUAUACAACAACAACUCUUCUUACUUCUCUCCUGCUAGAGCUGCUUCUCCUCAGAUCAGAAGCACUCCUGAGAUCGACAGGUAUAUAUGCUCUCUCUCCUCUGAUCUCUUCCUCUCGAAAAGAACACUCCUUUUGUUUGGUUUCUUAUAGCAAUAAAAACCGAUCUGAUUGUUCCUUCUUUGCUCGAACAGCUCUCAGUACUUGACGGAGCUUCUCGCAGAACAUCAAAAGCUCACACCUUUUAUGCAAGUCUUGCCCAUAUGCAGCCGCCUUUUGAAUCAAGGUUUCUCCUUUUCUUGAUUUUGAUUCGGAUCUAAACUGUAUAUUCCACCUCUUCUCUUUCCUUUUUUUAUUACAACACUUUCCCACUCCAAUUUUCUUACUUAAUGUUCAAAUCAGUUAAUCCAAUCAACACAGUGAGAUUUAAGUUGAAUGGACAGAUCAUUGUUUGGGUCUGUGAAUUCAAAUCAGUUAAUCCAGUCUUACUGAUAUGUCUUAACAUUACUUAUUUUAGUACAAGCUGUAGUGUCUUUUAGUUUCCUUGUUGUGGUUGUUGAUUUGAAAGGCUUUAUUGAUGUGCAGAGAUGUUCAGGGUAUCUGGAAUGAUGCCUCCUAACCAAGGAUUCGGCGAUUUUGAUAGACUCAGACACAGAAGUCCAAGUCCUAUGGCUUCUUCUAAUCUUAUGUCUAAUGUCUCUAACACCGGUUUAGGUGGUUGGAACGGUGGUCUCUCUCAGGAGGUAUUAUUAUCAUCUAAUCCAUUGUUUAAACUCUGUACCUAUGUUGUCUAAGAUGUGUUUGCACUGUGUGCUUCUUACAGAGACUUAGUGGAACACCUGGAAUGACAAUGGAUUGGCAAGGUGCACCUGGAAGUCCCAGCUCAUACACUGUGAAAAGGAUAUUGCGUCUGGAGAUUCCAGUAGAUAGCUAUCCUAAUGUGAGUAAACUCAUUCUGCUUCCUCAUCAUUUUACUCCAUAAGCUUUUUUUUAAUCACUCUUUUCUGUUUUUUACUUGCUAUUUUUACCAGUUCAAUUUUGUUGGAAGGCUUCUUGGUCCUAGAGGCAACUCAUUAAAACGUGUUGAAGCUACCACUGGUUGCCGUGUGUUCAUCAGAGGGAAGGGUUCAAUCAAGGAUCCAGAAAAGGUGAGAGAUGUCCAUGAAAUAUUUUUAACAAACAUGUCGUAUGCUUCAGAUGAGUAUCUUAUGUAUUUGAUGAUUAAAACAAUUAUAGGAAGAUAAGCUAAGGGGAAGACCAGGCUAUGAACAUCUAAAUGAGCAGCUUCACAUCUUGAUAGAAGCAGAUCUUCCAGCUAGUAUUGUGGAGAUUCGUCUGAGACAAGCUCAAGAAAUCAUAGAAGAGUUACUAAAGCCUGUGGUGAGUACACAUUCCCCACUACUUUCUUAACUCUUUGGAAUUUUCCAGUGUUCUAAAAAUCGGUUUAGUCGGCAAAUGGGGUCUGAAGAAACAAUUUAAUCUGAUUUUUUUUUAAGUCGGUGUUGGCGUCCCUGUUUAACUCUAUAAAACGCCUAACCACCGCCUAGUGAUUUUUUUGAACAUUGGUAUAAUCAGUACAAUGACAAUUAAGAUAGUAGCCACGUUUUUUAUUUUAUGUUCUUCCUUUGGUUGGUUAGCCUCAUUGAGAUCCUCUAGACUUAUUGCAUGUAGGGCCACUUGUUUCUUGUCACAACGUUUAUAUUUCAGUACCCACUCUUUGGUAGUUUGCGGUUGAUAUUCAACUAUGCAGACAUGUGUGACCACAAACACCAGUCAAAGCUUCAUUAUUGUUUUGUCUUUGAUCUCUUAUAACAUUGUUAUCAACCGCAGUCAUAAUAUGGAUUACAUUUUUGACAUAACGUUUUGUGUAUUUUUGUGUGGUUUAAUAAUGAAGGAUGAGUCUCAAGAUUUCAUAAAGAGGCAGCAGCUGAGGGAGCUAGCGUUGCUAAACUCGAACAACCUGAGGGAAGAGAGUCCAGGACCAAGCGGCGGUGGAAGCGUUUCGCCUUUCAAUUCAAGUGGUAAACGCCCCAAAACAGGAUGCUAAGGAGCGUUUUGUGUUUCAGUCAAAGGAGCGUUUUGUUGUUUCAAGGGGCGUUUUAAAUGGUACAUGUCUGCAUACACAAACACUCAUGUGUGUAUACUUGGUUCUGGCCCAGUACUUGCUGCAGUGGUGGUGGUCAAGUUAAGGCCUCCCUGGUCUCUCUCCGGUGAGCGACCCUGUGGCUUUCCUUUUCUUUUCCUUUUAUUUAUUUUUUGUUUUAUUCGUCUUUAUAAGACGAAUAUCAGAGAUUCAUUACAGAUUAUUUAUAUAAAAAAAAAGAUUUAGAAAAAGAGAGAAGAAAAAAAUGUUGAAAUAUAUAAUGUGUAUGUAGGGGAAAAAAUGUGGCUGGGGAAAGGGAGUGUAUUGAAAUUCUUAUUGUAAAAACAAAAAAAAAAAGAAAAAAAAAACACAUUUAUUGGAUUGAUUCUUAUGGUUUGAUUUUGAAAAGUUUUAUCUAAAACUUUGCUUCUUUUUUAUUUAUAUCAGACAUUAUUUCCAUAUUUAUCUGUCCACUAAAUUCUUUUUUUUGGCUAAGUCUAUAUCAUAUAACCUUUGAAAUGUGAUUAGUAUAAUAUGACAAGUUGUGACAUACCCUUGUGUAUAUACUGUCAUGUUAUACAUGUAAUUGAUGGGUUGAAAUUUGAAAACGAUAAUAUCAAAAUAUUUAUGGAACGAAGUACAUUGGGUUAGGAAUCUUGAAGGUGCGAUUCCCUGAAUAUUCUCCUUGUAUGUCACUCCAUUGGUCGCCUACAUUGCCCCAUAUCCUGUAACCUUCUUCCAUCAACUGCUUUCUGAUUGUUGUUUUGUAUGUUGCUGCGCUUUGUUUUUUGUUCUCUGCUGUCCUGCAAGUAGAGAAUCAUUUUGUCCACAUCGUGAGAGGCUUUAUCUUCGAAAAGAAAAGAUACUACUAAAUAAGUAAACCUUCUUUUUUACCUCAUAAUCAAUCUUUCAUAACCAGUGAAGCCUUGAUCAUGCAAAUUUUCAACUGUUGCUUGGCGAAGGGUCUCUUCAUCUCUCCCGGUUACUAGGAAAACUUUGAAUCCUAUUUCUAUCAGAUCAUUGAAGAGUUCGAGAACAGGUUGUAUAGCUGGAGAUUCUCCUUUCAUUGCCCAUGUUCUAAAUCCUGUUGGAUCAUAAGGGUCGCAUCUACAUGUUAACAAAGAGAGCAUAACAUAACAUUAGUCACAUUUUUCUAAACUUUUUGUAUUCAAUCAAGAAAAAAACAAGUGUAUACCCGUAUCUCUUGAGCCGAUAGUAGUAGACGUUUGAGAAGCAAGUAUCAUCAACAUCCAAGAUCCAUGCAUCCAUGCCAUCACCAGGAAGGACUAUCUCAUUGAGAUAAACCCUAACUUGUUCCACAAUCAACUCAACGUCUCUGUCAUAUUGACCAGCGAGCAUAUAUGCCUCAACGUAACGCAUACAUUGUAGAGGUACGGUGCGCCACGCACGUACGUUGUUGGUUUCUAUUGCUAGUCUCCAGCUUAAGCAAUAGCUAGCUGGAUUGUUUCCAUCCAUCGGUAUCCAUGGACUUGCGCUUGUUGCCACUACGGAGAUUGUUAGAAAGAUGAGAAGCAACAUCACUCUCUUAUGUAUCUUUAUUGCUCUUGAUUAUUCUGCUUUCACUUGUGAAGAAUGAGGAUAAACAAAAUUAGAGGUCUUUUGUUUGACACAAGAGGAGAAUGGUUGAGAAAGAAGUUUGGUUAUAUUGAGAUCAGUGGUGAAACAAGAAGACUAAUAAAAGGAGAAAGGAAGCUUGAAGUGGAUCAGCUUUACUAGUAUUGUAGUUGUGCGAAGAGAUGUUAGUUAAAGAGUGGUAUUUAAAGAGCUUGGUUUGGUAUAAGAUACUGGUUUCAUCCACUAAGUCUCCACUUUUUUUUUCUUAAGACCAACUUAUGAGGUAUGCACAAGGAAAAUAUUAUUAACAAAUGGAAAAUGGGGUCAAAACUAGCAAGCGCACAAAUCACUAAGGCACAUCCUAUAUAUGAGCCACUAUUUAUAUUCCAACACUUUCACAUAUAUAUACCAUGCAUAUCAUCCUCUUCUAUAUAUAUACUAAAUAAUACAUCAUUGGCAUUUUUACUAAGUGGCAUGACAUCUUUUAGUUAGUAUAUAGUGUAUCACUAGGUGGAGGAGCUCACUAGCCGUUACAUACAUAAGUAAGACAAACCUACUUAAAGCACUUUCCAUGCAUGGUCAAAGUUGUAGGUUUUGUUAACACACUGAGACUAUAUUAACUUGAAGGAUACAUUGUGAGAUUCAUAGGUGAAACACAACCUUAUGUACAAGAAGAUAACCUAGGGUGUAAGGUUUCAUUUGAGGUUUUCUUGAUAUAAGCCCUAUUGUACUUUUAUAUGGUCAAUUUAUGUAAGAAAACAAAAAAAAAUUGUAUUGUUUCUUAGAGCGAGGGCCUAUGGAGCGUCUUACAGGUAAUUAUCAAGAAAUUAAUAAAGAGUGGACACACAUUUGUCAAACCAACAAAAAAAAAAAUGAACCGACCAAAUAAGACUACAUAAUGGAUUUGGAUGCUGACAAGGAUUAGAUUGUUAUUAACUUUUGUCAACGUAAAAGUGGAUGACACGUUAGUAGUAGUGUAAUGGAAAAUGUAAAGGACAGCAAGUAAUGGAGUUAACACUACUACUAGAUUGAUAAGUUCGUUAAGAGUUGUUAGCCUAUGAGUUCAUCUCAUUAACUAACGCUCCUUCUCAUGUAUGGUUUAAGUUAUUAUACACUUGAUUGCCACUCGUAACACCUUUUUCAUCUAAUCCAUUUACAUUUCUUUAACUGGUUGGGAGAUGCUCUCCCAUUUGAAACGAUAAAACGUCAUCAAAACACCACUUAUCUGCCGGUCCCAAGGUCAAGAGUAUUGUUUUUUUUUCCUAACGAAGAGCAUAACAUUCACUUUGAUCUUGAAGAGCUUAAAAGUCCAUCUGAUAGAAGACGGCAAAGGAGAGGCAACAAUAGGUCAAGACGAAUGGUACAUGUUUCGCUAGAAGCCAUGCAUCCAAUGGUAUACCAUUCUCUUUACUUUACAUCUUCAGCCAUGUCUUAGAUAAGAAGAGUUCACAAUGACUAUAAUGGAAAUCAAUACAAGAAAUAAACUUCAAAACUUCGAUAAAAUGUGCAAGAAAGUAAGUUUGACAUGUUUGGAAUAAAAGAAGCAAAAGAAAAACCUAAAUUAUAGACUCCUCUACUUACUACCUCCAAGACACUGAACUGUGAUAUCCUUACACAAACAUCAUAGCCAGAACAUUCUAAGAAUGUGUCGGCAAAUGGACAUAGAAGCUCUUGAUAAAUCAACCAGAGAGCCUCUCUGUCUUAAACAAAGCCUCAUGCAAUAUAAAAAAAAGAACACACACAUUUAUCUCCUCACCUCAACAGAACUUCCAGUGGUUGUCACAGUUGACACACGUAACAUAAGUAGUCAUCGGCUCAUCAGCACUCCUCGUCUGCAUCUGAUAGUAAGUGCAUUUACGCUGCCCACACCUCCCACACUUGAACUGAUCAGUACUCGCUUUCGGCGCCUGGCCACGCUCACAAUCAAACAGAAACUUCUCCUUGAUCUGAUUAGUCUCCUGUUUCCUCUUGUCGCUUGCCAUCUCUUCACCAGACAAUGUAAUAAGUUUCUCCGGCGACACCUCCCCUGUGAGAACCCUCCUCCUCAGAUCCGGAUUGUUACUGUCCCUCAGGUUGAACAUUAUAGACCUGUACUUCACCUUCUGAGCUCCCGUUGACCGUCCCAGCUUCUCAAACAUGUGAGACUCCACCGAGACAGCGACGCGGAUUGGAUCACAUCCAACAACUCUCGCUCUAUCGUAGUCAUCUGAUUCGUCAUGGACCUUGGACAUUGCGUCCACAAGCAGCUCACGGAUCUUGUCACGCACAGGGUCGUUGCAUUUCACCAUCGAAGUCAGCUUUGGUGCACCAUUAAGUGGUGCCUUAGCUGGAGCUUUCGUACUAGAUUGAUUCUCCUUUGAGGCCCCAGCAUUGACUUUGUUGUCUCGUUCCUUCCUCUCUUCUACCUUGAUGCUCUUAGCUGAAUCACCUCUCUGAAGCUUCUGCACUUUCACAGGCGCUGGAUUUGCAUCCUUCCUGUCAAGCUUAGACUUGGAUGUCUCUUCAAUGACAAGUUUCUUCCAUGUCUCAAGAAGAUCAGUAGCUACGGUUUUUAUUUCUUCAAUAGGAUGUUUUGAAAGAGACCUUAGCUUCUUCCCUACCUGGAAGCAAUAACAUGCUAUUAGAGUGAUUUUUAAAUCUCUCUAACAUUGUUUGAGCAUAAUGAGAUUAGAAUUAAAGAUAAAUCAGUUUUAAUUUCCUGUGAUUUUGAACCUCUCUAAUAUUGUUUGAGCAUAAUCACAAUAAGCUUCAUAAAGUUUUAAUCUUUUCAAUUUUUUUGAAAAGUUUCAGAUGAGAUUAAUGAACCCUAACACAAGUCAAUGCUAUGAGAUUAAGGCAAGCAACAGAUGCAGAGAACCCUCUGAUUCAAACAGCGUAUUAGGCAAAAAAGAUCGAGACUUUGUAGAUUAAAGAGAUGAAAUUUGAAAAGAACCUGAGUCGCGACGAGCAUGUCGUAUGUGAUGGGAAACUUCUUGAGCUGUUUAAGGGCGUCGAGAGAUCGAGAAACCUCCGGACCUGAGGAGGUAACGCCGUCGAUCGCCGCCGCAUCGGCUGCCUUCUUCGCCGCCUCGAACAAUUCGAUCAAUUCGCUUUCCAUCGUCCUUCGAAUCGUUAACUUAUUCGCAAAAUCAAGAUAGAUUCAAGCCGAAUCAGAAGCAAUAAACCCACAAAAAAUUGCUGCGAUUGAAGAAUAAGAAGAAUGAGAUUUGUUCGGCGGAACUUGGUUCUUGUCGGGACGGAGAAGAUAGAGAUUACGUAGUUAAACAGUGUUUUUAUUUGGCGAUCUAACGGUUUCAGUUACAACUUUAGGGAAUCAACGGUUUAGAUCACGUGACUUGGUCUAUGGAUGUUACUAGAUUCACGCUUCCGCUCGAGGUUACUACAUCAAGUAUGGGCUAUAUAAGGCCCUUAUUGGGCCAGAGUCGUUUUAUAGUAACAAAAACAA
RNAcentral lists this long non-coding RNA (16827 nucleotides) under Brassica napus (rape). RNAcentral describes it as "long non-coding RNA (BNAP_LNC003972)". Lineage: Eukaryota; Viridiplantae; Streptophyta; Magnoliopsida; Brassicales; Brassicaceae. The record is from RNAcentral.